ACGACAAGUCUAACAGCCAUCCAAACCAACUCCAGCGGCAGUAUUAAAAGUUCAUUAAUCAUUACAAGUUCAUAAUCCACAAAUCAAUCACAAUAAAGCCAAAAGGAGGGGCAUCAUUCAACAAUUGUUCCUUGACGCGUCGCUUAUUGGCAGCAAAAACUUCAGCCCUCAAUUUGUCCACGCCCACGUGUGCACGCUGCUUCAGAUCAGAGGACCCAACGAUGAUAGCAGCUUGCAAGGCUCCGGCACAGGCAGAGGAAGAGCCAGUUUAGCAGGGCUUCGGCUUCGGCUCCUACCGCGGCUUCUGCCGGAGCCCUACCCGAGAGAGCGGCGGCGACGGUGGGUUGGAAAGAGGAGCAAUGUCUGGAGAGCGGAUGGAGGCAGUGCAGCGUCGAUGAAGCAGAACCAAAGCGGUGUUGCCUCCCCCCCCCCCACCCCGUUCCAUCCAUGGCUGGUGCAAGCAUGGUCCGAUAACCUGGCCACAACCGGCAGCAACAUGUCCCUUCACGUCUGGGUGGGUGGUAGCAACAACAGAGCAGCAGUAGCAGCUCCUGCCUGGGGGCAGCGGUGGAGCGUAGGGUAGCAACAGUAGCGCACGGCGAGAGAGUGGCGGUGGGGAACAGAGCGGGCAGUGGCGUGCCUGGACUGGCUGCGUGAAGA
RNAcentral lists this long non-coding RNA (660 nucleotides) under Setaria viridis. RNAcentral's name for it is "long non-coding RNA (SVIR_LNC003488)". Lineage: Eukaryota; Viridiplantae; Streptophyta; Magnoliopsida; Poales; Poaceae. The record is from RNAcentral.